Molecule: ribosomal RNA, 339 nt
Filed under: Escherichia coli
Lineage: Bacteria; Pseudomonadati; Pseudomonadota; Gammaproteobacteria; Enterobacterales; Enterobacteriaceae
Description: bacterial SSU rRNA
Rfam family: Bacterial small subunit ribosomal RNA
Source: RNAcentral
UUAAAUUGAAGAGUUUGAUCAUGGCUCAGAUUGAACGCUGGCGGCAGGCCUAACACAUGCAAGUCGAACGGUAACAGGAAGCAGCUUGCUGCUUUGCUGACGAGUGGCGGACGGGUGAGUAAUGUCUGGGAAACUGCCUGAUGGAGGGGGAUAACUACUGGAAACGGUAGCUAAUACCGCAUAACGUCGCAAGACCAAAGAGGGGGACCUUCGGGCCUCUUGCCAUCGGAUGUGCCCAGAUGGGAUUAGCUAGUAGGUGGGGUAACGGCUCACCUAGGCGACGAUCCCUAGCUGGUCUGAGAGGAUGACCAGCCACACUGGAACUGAGACACGGUCCAG